Sebastes umbrosus (honeycomb rockfish) is the source of this 150-nucleotide long non-coding RNA. RefSeq lists it as uncharacterized. The record is from RefSeq and is a predicted model, not a curated record. Lineage: Eukaryota; Metazoa; Chordata; Actinopteri; Perciformes; Sebastidae. The transcript is spliced from 3 exons.
UUAGUUAUCUCGUUAACGAGUUACUUCAUAGUGCACUUCUUCCAAUCAUUCCUGACAGUCCACGCAUUGCUGAUGUACGGAGCCCCCCUAGAUGAUGUACUUAAGUAAAGUUGGAAAGAUAUUUACUUAUUCAAACUUCCUGGAUCAAUA